RNAcentral lists this non-coding RNA (253 nucleotides) under uncultured bacterium. Its description in RNAcentral is "partial 16S ribosomal RNA". It matches the Rfam family "Bacterial small subunit ribosomal RNA", at positions 524 to 776 of the family's 1533-position model. RNAcentral also lists the same sequence under 1 other name. The record is from RNAcentral.
UACGUAGGUGGCAAGCGUUGUCCGGAUUUAUUGGGUUUAAAGGGUGCGUAGGCGGCCUAUUAAGUCAGUGCUGAAAUAUCCCGGCUUAACCGGGAGGGUGGCAUUGAUACUGAUGGGCUAGAGUACAGAUGAGGUAGGCGGAAUUGACGGUGUAGCGGUGAAAUGCUUAGAUAUCGUCAAGAACACCUAUAGCGAAGGCAGCUUACUAGGCUGUAACUGACGCUGAGGCACGAAAGUGUGGGGAUCAAACAGG